CUGCUAACAUCGUGUCAUUGCUGCUAUUGUCUGAUGUCAACCUCUUAAUUAUAGCUUCUGAUAGCGAUACAGUAUUUCCUUCAUUUCUGUUCAUCGCUCAACCUCUGCUGUCCCCCCGCUAAAGGUGAUUAGCGACAUUUUAUGUCAUAUCGUUCGUCUGUUUGACAGCCAGCGCAAGUGAACUGGAUUAGAUUGGACGGCCAAAUGAGAUAUGCCUGAAUCAAAUUAAAACAGCAGAGAUUAUACAGUCUUUUAAUUAUGCUAGCCACGCUCAGACAAGGAAUAUUACCUCUGUGUCUUUCCUUUCUUAUAACCUGAUGUAAAUUGACCAUUUAAAAGUCUGCGUUCAUUCAUAAAGUAACAUUUUCUGUGGCUUGAGGAAUGUGCUGAUACUAAAUUAAACCGAAGUGGUCAUAUAAAUGCCAUGUUUUUUUUUUUAAAUAGCACUGGCUUAAACAAAGAAAACAUUUCAUAUAUUUGUCAGAUGGCUGAAAUUAUGUAAGCUCUCAAAGUUGAAAAUGGUUGGAAAUGAUGCAUUCGAUGCUCUUCCUACAGGAAACCACUCCUCUGAAUUGGUGACAGUCUUUCAAGAACCCCCAUGAUCCAGCGUCCCUCCCAAUGGUACAACCUGUCAGCCCUGAACAUGGAGAGUUAUAAGGGGAAAACUUAGCGAUACGGUGACCUUGAUGAUAGUGUGACAGUCAUCGGUGAAGAACUUUGUUCCACCUGGAGGAGAUGAAGAUAUUUAGGUCCAUGUAAAUAAGCCCAUUUAGGUGCCGCUAGCAUCAGCUCAUGCUAAAAUAAAGACUGUUUUUGGAGGACGCAAUGGGCUUGCAUGAGACAAGUACUCCCAGAGAAGAGGAGGACACACCCCGGACAGGAUUACAAUUAAUAGCUUACUGCAGGUAAGUGAUUAAGAGUUACCUGAUAAUGACCCCGGGAGGCUAACUACAGAAGGAGGAGAAAUGAUGACAGCUCCUCAAGCCCAGCGCGUCAGGCCGCAAUUUAAGUUGGCCGAUUUGGAGCGCUCCCCAUGAGCCAGCAACACAAUGGAGGAGUACACUUUCCCACUCUGUAAUUAAGGUCCAUUGAGUGAAAUUACCUUCCGAUAAUUACUGGGUAGUUGUCAGCGUUUUUUAUAGCGUGAUGAGGCUCUGUCUUCCUC
Molecule: long non-coding RNA, 1165 nt
Organism: Cyprinus carpio (common carp)
Lineage: Eukaryota; Metazoa; Chordata; Actinopteri; Cypriniformes; Cyprinidae
Source: Ensembl